This 91-nucleotide non-coding RNA is filed under the name Candidatus Thiodiazotropha endolucinida. The record is from RNAcentral. Lineage: Bacteria; Pseudomonadati; Pseudomonadota; Gammaproteobacteria; Chromatiales; Sedimenticolaceae.
CGCUCUGGCCAGCAAUGGUCCGGGUGAUCUGUCAGAAGUCAGCAGAGGUCGUAGUACCAGUCCGGGCCAGGAGGCUAGGAACGGGAAGGGC